RNAcentral lists this ribosomal RNA (540 nucleotides) under Triticum aestivum (bread wheat). Its description in RNAcentral is "partial small subunit ribosomal RNA". Lineage: Eukaryota; Viridiplantae; Streptophyta; Magnoliopsida; Poales; Poaceae. The record is from RNAcentral.
AUGAGUUGUAUCAGCUGGAACUGUCGGGGGCUUGGGAACCCCGAGACAGUUUAUGAGCUUCGCAGUAUUGUGAGGCUGGAAGGACCCACUCUACUUUUUGUUACAGAGACGAAAAUAAAAGCAAAAGGAGUAGAGGAUCUGAAGAAUUUGUUAGGUUUUGGAGGUUGUUUUGCGGUAGACAUUGCUGGCCUUAGUGGUGGCAUUGGUCUCUUUUGGUCAAAUGAUGUUUCAGUUGAGUUGAAAACUUCAGUCAAUGUCAUAUUGAUGUUUUGGUUAGCAAUAAAAUUCAGAACUCUCCAUCUUGGAGGUUCACUGGUUUUUACGGAUCACCGCGUGCUGAAGAGAGACAUAAUAGUUGGCGGUUAUUGCGUACUCUAUAUAACAUACCACAUGCGGCAUGGAUGUGCAUGGGGGAUUUUAAUGAGACCCUUUUUUCCAAUGAACACUUCAGUAGAGCUGCUCGUCCUGAGAGACAGAUGCAAGCUUUUCGGGAGGUGGUGGAUGAUGUUUCCUUCUAGGACUUGGGUUGGUCAGGCUUAG